AACGAACGCUGGCUGCAUGCCUAACACAUGCAAGUCGAACGAUGCUUUCGGGCAUAGUGGCGCACGGGUGCGUAACGCGUGGGAAUCUGCCCUUGGGUUCGGAAUAACAGUGAGAAAUUGCUGCUAAUACCGGAUGAUGUCUUCGGACCAAAGAUUUAUCGCCCAGGGAUGAGCCCGCGUAGGAUUAGCUAGUUGGUGGGGUAAUGGCCUACCAAGGCGACGAUCCUUAGCUGGUCUGAGAGGAUGAUCAGCCACACUGGGACUGAGACACGGCCCAGACUCCUACGGGAGGCAGCAGUGGGGAAUAUUGGACAAUGGGCGCAAGCCUGAUCCAGCAAUGCCGCGUGAGUGAUGAAGGCCUUAGGGUUGUAAAGCUCUUUUACCCGGGAUGAUAAUGACAGUACCGGGAGAAUAAGCGCCGGCUAACUCCGUG
Molecule: ribosomal RNA, 433 nt
Filed under: uncultured bacterium
Lineage: Bacteria
Description: partial 16S ribosomal RNA
Rfam family: Bacterial small subunit ribosomal RNA
Source: RNAcentral